UUGCUUCUGCAGCAUACAUACUAAAAUUGGAACGAUACAGAGAAGAUUAGCAUGGCCCCUGCACAAGGAUGGCACACAAAUUUGUGAAGCAUUCCGCAUUUUA
Molecule: small nuclear RNA, 103 nt
Organism: Phodopus roborovskii (desert hamster)
Lineage: Eukaryota; Metazoa; Chordata; Mammalia; Rodentia; Cricetidae
Source: RefSeq, a predicted model, not a curated record